This 253-nucleotide ribosomal RNA is filed under the name uncultured bacterium. RNAcentral describes it as "partial 16S ribosomal RNA". It matches the Rfam family "Bacterial small subunit ribosomal RNA", at positions 524 to 776 of the family's 1533-position model. The record is from RNAcentral.
GACAGAGGGUGCAACCGUUGUUCGGAAUUACUGGGCGUAAAGCGCGUGUAGGCGGCAGCGCAAGUCGGAUGUGAAAUCCCAUGGCUCAACCAUGGAAGUGCACCCGAAACUGCGUCGCUAGAGUCCUGGAGAGGAAGGUGGAAUGCUUGGUGUAGAGGUGAAAUUCGUAGAUAUCAAGCGGAACACCGGUGGCGAAGGCGGCCUUCUGGACAGUGACUGACGCUGAGACGCGAAAGCGUGGGGAGCAAACAGG